CCUACGGGAGGCAGCAGUGGGGAAUAUUGCACAAUGGGGGGAACCCUGAUGCAGCGACGCCGCGUGAGUGAAGAAGUAUUUCGGUAUGUAAAGCUCUGUCAGCAGGGAAGAAGAAAGACGGUACCUGAACAAGAAGCACCGGCUAACUACGUGCCAGCAGCCGCGGUAAUACGUAGGGGGCAAGCGUUAUCCGGAUUUACUGGGUGUAAAGGGAGCGUAGGCGGCAGGGCAAGUCUGGGGUGAAAUGUCAGGGCCCAACCCCUGGACUGCUCUGGAAACUGUUCGGCUGGAGUGCAGGAGAGGUAAGUGGAAUGCAUGUUGUAGCGGUGAAAUGCGUAGAUAUUA
This 345-nucleotide ribosomal RNA is filed under the name uncultured bacterium. RNAcentral's name for it is "partial 16S ribosomal RNA". It matches the Rfam family "Bacterial small subunit ribosomal RNA", at positions 338 to 699 of the family's 1533-position model. The record is from RNAcentral.